UGGGGAAUAUUGGACAAUGGACCAAAAGUCUGAUCCAGCAAUUCUGUGUGCACGAUGAAGUUUUUCGGAAUGUAAAGUGCUUUCAGUUGGGAAGAAGAAAGUGACGGUACCAACAGAAGAAGUGACGGCUAAAUACGUGCCAGCAGCCGCGGUAAUACGUAUGUCACAAGCGUUAUCCGGAUUUAUUGGGCGUAAAGCGCGUCUAGGCGGUUAAUUAAGUCUGAUGUGAAAAUGCGGAGCUCAACUCCGUAUUGCGUUGGAAACUGGUUAACUAGAGUACUGGAGAGGUAAGCGGAACUACAAGUGUAGAGGUGAAAUUCGUAGAUAUUUGUAGGAAUGCCGAUGGGGAAGCCAGCUUACUGGACAGAUACUGACGCUAAAGCGCGAAAGCGUGGGUAGCAAACAGGAUUAGAUACCCUGGUAGUCCAUGCUGUAAACGAUGAUUACUAGGUGUUGGGGGUCGAACCUCAGCGCCCAAGCUAACGCGAUAAGUAAUCCGCCUGGGGAGUACGUACGCAAGUAUG
Molecule: ribosomal RNA, 524 nt
Filed under: uncultured bacterium
Lineage: Bacteria
Description: bacterial SSU rRNA
Rfam family: Bacterial small subunit ribosomal RNA
Source: RNAcentral